Molecule: ribosomal RNA, 252 nt
Filed under: uncultured bacterium
Lineage: Bacteria
Description: partial 16S ribosomal RNA
Rfam family: Bacterial small subunit ribosomal RNA
Source: RNAcentral
GCGGCAGGCCUAACACAUGCAAGUCGAGCGCUACCUUCGGGUGGAGCGGCGGACGGGUUAGUAACGCGUGGGAAUAUACCCAGUAGCGGGGGAUAAGCCAGAGAAAUUUGGUCUAAUACCGCAUACGCCCUUCGGGGGAAAGCAGGGGAUCUUCGGACCUUGCACUAUUGGAUGAGCCUGCGUGAGAUUAGCUAGUUGGUGAGGUAAUGGCUCACCAAGGCGACGAUCUCUAGCUGGUCUGAGAGGAUGAUC